GCGCCCUUCCCUCGGCACCCGGGAGUGAGAUGAGGCCAGGGUUUGGCAUUGGCAGCCGAUUCUUCAAAGACUGACCUUUUAAAUGUUAAUUCAGUACUGGCGCUGCCACCUGGUGGUCAUUGAGGGGCACUGCGCGCUGUGCUGGAGGGGACAGGUCAGGCCCACGAUGCUGUGCCGAGCUAAAUAAACUGGCACUUAAACCCCUAACUAAACUCGUUGCUACCAUCGAGCAAGAAGUACAGAAGCCUUAGGUCCUCGAAGGCACAACCUCAGAAUGAAGGGUUUUUUUGAAGUCCCUGACCUGGGGUUACACGCAGGUUUCGGUUCUUUGCAGGAAUGAGACCCGUUCUCAGCAUUCGACGACUGGCCGCUAUUCGACAUGCCAAGGGUUUGGCCUGAGAGUUCCGGUCGUAUUCAGAAGCCUAAGAUCUCAGGGCUCUGAAGACGGGUGGUCACAGCAGGAGACUCAUGUGUCAUCAGGAAGGCCAGAAAAUCUGUGGGCCCGAAGACCCGAGGUCUUUGUGAUCUUUGGACGCAGAGCUCAAAAACAGCAUCGAUACCAACUUUUAACAUCGUAAACCAGUGGGUUGUUGUUCUUUCUCCCGCUCGCUGUGAAAAUGAGGGACACCUCCCUCUCCCGCUCGCCAGGGAGAGAGCAAACCUGUGGAUUGUCAAAUUUCAGAUGAAAUGCAAAGUUUUUGGGGUAACUUUGAUCUGUGCCCUUGCUAUUGCUUAGCACACACCUGGGCUCAGUGAUGGUACCGAUGUGUACUUUGUUUUGCUGGUGGGGGGAAGGGGGAGGUCGUUGCUCGCCGCUUACGUGCGGGAGGGAGGGGAGCUGGGAGGGGGGACUUCGGGGCUCUCACAUUUAACUGUCAUUUAUUCGUUGGGGCACUCCUCUGUUUUCGUGGAUGUUUGCGGAGAAAAAGCAUUUCAGGAUGUAUAUUAUAUACAUUUCUCUGACAUUAAAUAUGACUUUUGAACCUUCAGAUGUUCCAGUACCAGAUUGGCAGAUUGGUCAAAAAGUCAAAUGUUACGUGGAGAAGGGAAGUAAAUCAGCCGUGGUUGAAUGGCAGAGCACCAGAGGGACUGAAAGACCUGAUUCUGCUUCCAGGUCUUAUAGACGUCCAAACUGGGAGUCUGAGGUCGAAGAGAGAAAGCAGGGUGAUGAAAACAUGGGAUGGGCAGAGGUUAAAACUGCUGCCUCAUUUCACUAGAUCCCUAGUUUGGCAGACAGUGAACGAAGGUCUACUCUCGUACAGGAGGGAAUGCAGUUGAUCCUGGGAUCAGAGGGCAGCAGGACUGAUCACCAUAGGCCCCGAUCUACCCCCACGCCCACUCCCUGCGUAGCUGCCAAUCCAAAGCCUGUGGG
Hypanus sabinus (Atlantic stingray) is the source of this 1372-nucleotide long non-coding RNA. RefSeq lists it as uncharacterized. The transcript is spliced from 3 exons. The record is from RefSeq and is a predicted model, not a curated record. Lineage: Eukaryota; Metazoa; Chordata; Chondrichthyes; Myliobatiformes; Dasyatidae.